RNAcentral lists this ribosomal RNA (809 nucleotides) under uncultured bacterium. Its description in RNAcentral is "bacterial SSU rRNA". It matches the Rfam family "Bacterial small subunit ribosomal RNA", at positions 28 to 870 of the family's 1533-position model. The record is from RNAcentral.
UUUGAACGCUGGCGGCAUGGCUAAAACAUGCAAGUCGAACGAGAAAGAGGAGCAAUCCUCGAGUAAAGUGGCGAAAGGGUGAGUAAUACGUUCCUACGUGCCUUGAGGUCAGGGAUAGCCAAGGGAAACCUUGGGUAAUACCUGAUGUGGUCGAGAGAUCAAAGGCUUGCCGCCUCUUGAGCGGGGAACGUCCUAUCAGCUAGUUGGUGAGGUAACGGCUCACCAAGGCAAUGACGGGUAGCGGGUGUGAGAGCAUGGCCCGCCACAUCGGAACUGAGACACUGUCCGGACUCCUACGGGAGGCUGCAGUAACGAAUCUUCCACAAUGCGCGAAAGCGUGAUGGAGCAAUGCCGCGUGCAGGAUGAAGCCCUUCGGGGUGUAAACUGCUGUCAGGGGUUAGCAACACAAUGAGCAGCCCCAAAGGAAGAGACGACUAACUCUGUGCCAGCAGUCGCGGUAAUACAGAGGUCUCGAGCGUUAGACGGAUUCAUUGGGCUUAGAGCGUACGUAGGCGGGCGUGCAGGCGCUGUGUGAAAGCCCUCGGCUCAACCGAGGAAUUGCACGGCGAACCGCACGUCUUGAGACAAGUAGGGGCGGCCGGAACGAUAGGUGGAGUGGUGAAAUGCGUUGAUAUCUAUCGGAACGCCAAUGGUGAAGACAGGCCGCUGGGCUUGUUCUGACGCUGAGGUACGAAAGCGUGGGUAGCGAACGGGAUUAGAUACCCCGGUAGUCCACGCCGUAAACAAUGUGCACUAGAUCGAGGAGGUUCUGAUACCCUCUCGGCCGAAGUAAAAACGUUGAGUGCACC